This 331-nucleotide long non-coding RNA is filed under the name Medicago truncatula (barrel medic). RNAcentral describes it as "lncRNA gene2913". The record is from RNAcentral. Lineage: Eukaryota; Viridiplantae; Streptophyta; Magnoliopsida; Fabales; Fabaceae.
UCUAUGUGCUCUCUUUGCAACAAUAUGUCUGAAACUACUCAUCAUCUUUUUUUGGAGUGCUCUUUUGCUCUUAAUUUAUGGAGUUGGUUUGCUGGGAUUUUGAACUGUAGUAUUAAUAUCCAGUCAAAGGAAGAUUUAUGGAACAUAUGCAACGGCUCCUGGAACCCCCAGUGCAAGACUGUCAUCAUAGCUUCUCUUAUCAACAUCAUCAAUAGUAUCUGGUAUGCAAGGAAUCAAAGGAGAUUUCAAAAUAUCAAAAUCCACUGGAGAUCCUCUAUUGCUUCUAUUAUUUCCAAUGCUUCUCUUACAGGUAACUUGUCUAGGAAGGUAG